This 472-nucleotide ribosomal RNA is filed under the name uncultured Sphingobacteriales bacterium. RNAcentral's name for it is "bacterial SSU rRNA". It matches the Rfam family "Bacterial small subunit ribosomal RNA", at positions 910 to 1382 of the family's 1533-position model. The record is from RNAcentral. Lineage: Bacteria; Pseudomonadati; Bacteroidota; Sphingobacteriia; Sphingobacteriales.
UUGACGGGGGCCCGGCACAAGCGGAGGAGCAUGUGGUUUAAUUCGAUGAUACGCGAGGAACCUUACCUGGGCUCGAACGUAAGAUGACUGUAGGUGAAAGCUUACAUCUCUUCGGAGCAUUUUACGAGGUGCUGCAUGGUUGUCGUCAGCUCGUGCCGUGAGGUGUCGGGUUAAGUCCCAUAACGAGCGCAACCCCUACCUUUAGUUGCCAUCAGGUUAAGCUGGGGACUCUAAAGGAACUGCCUACGCAAGUAGUGAGGAAGGCGGGGAUGACGUCAAAUCAGCACGGCCCUUACGUCCAGGGCUACACACGUGCUACAAUGGCCGAUACAGAGGGCAGCUACCUGGUGACAGGAUGCAAAUCUCCAAAGUCGGUCUCAGUUCGGAUCGGAGUCUGCAACCCGACUCCGUGAAGUUGGAUUCGCUAGUAAUCGCGCAUCAGCCAUGGCGCGGUGAAUACGUUCCGGGCCUU